Molecule: long non-coding RNA, 6406 nt
Organism: Pantherophis guttatus
Lineage: Eukaryota; Metazoa; Chordata; Lepidosauria; Squamata; Colubridae
Source: RefSeq, a predicted model, not a curated record
CGGCUCCGUUGGGGUCCACGCGUGUUUCUUCUGAACAAGAGUUCUUCACCGCUUCUCUUCUAAAGCCCUAGCAGGAUAGGUCGUCCUCGAUUUACAACAGUUCGUUUAGUGACCGUUCAAAGUUACAGUGGCACUGAAAAAAAUGUGAUUUAUGCCCGGUUUUCACCCUUAGGACCUUUGCAGCAUUCCCCGUGAUCAAAAUCCAGCCGCUUGGCAACCUUGCUGUGUCCCAAGGUCAUAUGAUCACUAUUUGGCGACGAGCGAAGUCAAUGGGGAAGCUAGAUUCGCUUAACAACCAGGUUACUAACUUAUCAAUGCAGUGAUUCACUUAACAAUUGUGGCAAGAAAAGUUGUAAAAUGGGGCAAAACUCACUUAACAAAUUUCUCAGCAACAUAAAUUCUGGGCGCAGUUGUGAUUGUAAACUGUAGUACCACUUAACCAAUAAAGCACUGUGGUGCUUGUGUUGAUCCCUUGGGGAGGAAACCCCCUCUAAAUUCAUAAUCUAAUUUCUUUAUUGACAUGAAAGUAUUUUUCUUUUUAAUGUUCAGAACUUAGGCACGAUAUUAUAAAAAACGGGAUUUGGAGGUGGGGGGGGAAAGGGGAUUAAAUAACACCCCUGGCAAGAUAUUUGCAACCUGUGUGAUUUGCAGACCAGUUUUCUUUGUUAGGUGGAGUUGAAACUCCUUGUGUCAGGAGGUGUCUGUCACUGGUGCCCAUUUGCGUUUCAGAUUAGAGGGAACAAUCAUUUGUUGCUCUUUGAAGGCAAGAGUAAACUGAGCUCAGAGACUUCACGUUUCUCACUCACAGGAACUCAGUAAAUUGACCAUGGAACAGAAGAUAGAAAACAGUGGUAGUAUAAAAUAAAAGUUUGAAAAAUUGCAGCCAUGAUUUUUAAUUCAUGCAUAUGUCAAAGUGGGUGAAUAUAAGAUGUUUGCCUUAUUUAUUUAUUAAAUUUGCGGCUGCCCAUCUCACCACAAGGUCACUUUUACAGUAAUGCAGGAAUAUGAAACUUGCGGCCCGCAGGCCGGCUAUGUUACACCACACCAACACCCAGUUCAACGAAGGGGGAAAAAGUCACGAUAGGUCAUGUGAUGACACCGUGAUGACACAGGUUUGACACCCCUGCAGUAAUGCAUUGAAUUGGAUUAAGUUUUCUUGGUAUUAAGAGUGUCUUGUUAUUCUCUGGUGGCAAAAAAAAAUCAGGUCUGGUAGCACUUUUUUCCAUUAACAUUUUAUUAAAAGGCAUCUGUGCAUCUGAUGAAGUAAGCUAUAACUGGUGAAAACUUGCACCUUUUCAUAAAAUAUACAAGUAAGAAACUGUGAUACCAGACUUGGAUGUUUUGGUAUAAAGACGUGAGCUCUUGAAUCAAAUUUACAGUUACACCACCCAGACACUAGAUGUCGACUGAUAACCUGAUACCAUCUGAAGGAAGUAUAUUACUUCUGGUUGAUAGAUCUGUCACCAAAUUAGAAUAUUUACUCUAAGAGCUUUUGUCAACCAUAAGGUAAAAGGGAAAAAAAAACCAGGUGGAGAGCAAAAAUGCAGCAGGGUAUGCUGUUACAUGUUUCAAAUGUGUGGCUGCUACGGUAGUUUAAUAUGCUUCAUUGUGUUAUAAAAUGAAAGACUGAAAAACAUUCCUGGGUCAGCCAGAUGCAGAUUUAUUGCGCAAGGUUCAGAGGCAGUUUGGUUCUUGCAAGUCUGAACAAAAAAAGAGCUCUGAUCUAACUGUUUUUAUACAUAUCCAAGACAAAGGAUUCGGUGAGCUCAUGCAUUGGUGAGCUCAUGCAUUUUCCAUAUAUGGUUAACAUACAUUUGAUAAUUUGUACUUCCUAAUUACUAAACCAUUACUUUCUAGUUUAUAAGAUUAUUUUAGCUACACAACUUUUCCUUAAGUGCUAUAGUUGCUAAUGAGAGAUUUAUUGCUGUCCUUGGGUAAUAAGAGGUAGAGUAACUCUUUGUUUCCUAUGCAUGUCUUUGUGUCUUGGACAGUGAGGCCCCUCAGAGGUUUUCCAUAUGGCUGUCCUUCUGCGACAGCUAGGCCUCAUCAGAAGAUAUAUUACCAAUAAUGGGACUUAGCUGAUUUUUUAAUAUAAUCUCCAAGCACUUUUCUCCCUUAUAAUAAUGUGAAUAGAGAGUGUCUUUUAACUGACCCUUUCUCCCUUAUAAUAAAGUGAAUAAAGAGUGUCCUUUAGGGUUCAUGUAACUGACUCUGUAUGAUUCCUACUUUAUUCACUUUAUUCCCAUUCACUUUAUUCACCUUAUUAUUUUAUUCACUUUAAUUGUAAACCAGACACAGAAUUGCAAUUUACUUUCCACAUUAUGAUCUCCAACUUAAUGUAUAUUGCUCAUUUUUCCAAGCACAUUAUAACUUUCUUAGCUGCUAUGGGUGUCCCUUUCACAUUCAUUACACAUAAUUUUAGGAUCCCUGUCCUGGCUUAAAUAUGUUCUAUUUUUACUUAUUGCAGGCUAAAUUAAGGUAAGGAGGAUUAUCUUGGUUUCACCUCUGGCAGGAAAGCAAUCAACAAUCACUCUUCUUAAAAUAAGCUAGGACAAGUUUAAAUGAUGCUUAGAGAUGUCUGUCUCACCAUCACUGAAGUUGGUGGAUUAAGAACAGGAGUUGAGGGAAUUUAGUGAAGUCUCUGAGAUGCCUCUGCUUGCAACAACCUUUCUGUCUCUUACCUGCUGGGCUAUUUCUGAACCAGGGAUGUAGCGUUCUUUAGAAAGUGUGCUAAAGAUAAGAGGCUUAUUUCUAGUUGUUCAUAAAUUAUUUAAUAGUUUAACAGACUGAAGCUUCAAAGGAAACUAAUAUGUUGAUUUUAAAGUUUGGUCCCUGAACUUAAAAGGGCAAGUAUGAAUAUAUAAACAAAUCUACUCCUUCAUUGGGUCCAAGGUUUGCCUACAGAUGCUUGAAACUGCUUGUCUGAUUUCCCCAUCUCUACAUAAAGGGGCCAUUGCUACUGGGAUAAGAGGAAACACUAUUUCAGAAGUGAAACAGCUAAGCACAAUUUUAAGCAGCCUCAGAAACUGGCUGGGAAUGGCCCAAAGGGAAUGUAAACCUGGUAGAAAAGAGAGAUAUAUCUGACAUGUUUAUGUCACAGGUACAGGAAGUACUGUAAGGAAGAACCACAUAUCCAUGUAAUGUUCUAAUUGCUGUCUUGAUAUAAACAUAAAAAUGUUUAGGUAAGUCUGCAGAAGAGGUUAGCAAACGUCAAGAUGACGAUUGCUGCCAGGAAAUGGAAACCUCAUCUGUUCUUUUAGAUACAGGCUUUGAUUGCAAGGUCAUGACCAUCUUGAUAUUUUUCACACCCUCGUUCCCAGGCCCCUGCAAAGGGCCCUAGCUCUAAUGUUCUCUGUAAUAGAGCUGUGCAGAGCUUUGAAUUCUAUUCCAAUUCUGCAGCUUUUUAAAGCAGCUCUGUCUCUUCCUAGGAUUCCAUAGCUGUUCCCAAGAAAGGAUGAGGCUGCUUUAAAGCAAGGCAGAUAAGUCUUACGUUAAUGUUCCAGAGCACCUUUUAUGAAGUACAUCUGAAGCACCGCCAUAAGUGCUGAGAUGCCAAUAACCUUUUACAGUAUUGUAGAACUGAAUCUACAGCUCAAAGCUAGAGGGAACUUUUGAUGAAUUAGCAUUCCAUUGUUCUCAGUACUCAUGAAAGGCCCACAAUAUUCUCAUUCUCAAGGGUGCCUUCUGCAUAAAACUAAAAUGAGGAAAAAAUAUGGCUUGCAUGUAAAUCACAUCCUGCCCAAUGGCUUCCAUAACCACAUUGAGAGCAGAUGUCAUUCCGUUAGAGAGAAUAGGAAGUGUAUAUGACCUUUGAGAAAAAUCUUGGGGUUUUUUUAGGAUGUAAACUUGUCAUAUAUUUGAAAAUAAGGGAGUUUCUGUAAGAUGACAUCUGAUUUGACACAUAGGAGUGAUUAAUUGCUGACACAUUGAAAUCAUGCAAAUGUAGGGAUGCCUGGAGAUUACUUCUCUUUUUUCUGGACCAGGGUUAUAAAAGAGGAUGCUGCACCCACAGGAGCAGCGAGUCAGACUAUUCUUACACAGUACGUAGCGCAUACAGAGGAUUUCUAUCCUGUUUCUUCGGGUAAGUUUCAAAAUCAAUAUCAAUUUGUAAGAGAAGGUAACUGGUGAAGGCUACAGUGAUGUACAAGUGGACCUGUGUGAUGAAUGGGAGCAGCACCAGAUGUUUUUCUUGGAUUGGAGGAGGGAGUCUAAUUUUAGGGGAGGGUUGGAUUUAAUUUAAUAUUAAGCCUGCUGUAGUGUAGUGUGACCUAGGUAAUUUUAGUUCAGCCAUGUCUCAUCCCAACCUACCUUAUAAAAUUGUAGAAAUCCAAAGAGAGGCAUGCUACUUGACUUCCCAUAUGAAAGGUGGCAUACUCUGUAAAAUCGUCAGUAUCCUAUUUUUUGUUUGCCUACCUUAGACUGCAGCUUGUGAUCUGUGUUGAACCGCCAGCUACUUAAGAGAAUAGGAUCACAAAUUAUAAAAAUCAGAUCAGGCCUGCACAGGAAAUGUGAACACCAUUUAUACUCACUUCGGGCUUAGCUCCUCACGUUGCUGUGCAAAUCCAUGCUAACUACUGCAGUUUGAGAAACUCUGGCCUAAACACAUUUAAAGUGUAGUGAUUAAAAAUAAGUGAUAUUGUAGAUUUAUUUCCCACCAGGCUGCAACCCUUAUAAAAACAGUUUUAUUCGUGGGAGAAUUUAUUUUAUAAUGUUAGGUGGUCACAAUCCUGCAAUGUUUGAGAAACCUUCACUUAUGUAUGUAUCCAUAUGGUGGGAAACUGACACAAUUGCUAACAUUGGAAAUUAUUAAAACGUUAUUGUGGCCUAGUGUAUUGUAAGAGCCAACUUCUUUUGAUUAAGUUAUGGAGAAACGGGCAACGGAGCAUCCGGCGCAAGGGAAAGAGGGGGCCGCUUUCCGUCUCUUCUCCCUGCUCCUCCUCCUCCCCUCGUGCCGGCCACUCCGUUUCUCCAUUGCAGUGCAGCGCCCAGGAUCUACUUUUGACAGCGGGAUGAGGUGGGGUGAUAAUUUGCCUGGCUAAACUCACUCCACAGUCGCCCCUACAUUGGGCUCAGCUUCGAUUGUGCUGCCAACUUAAUUUUUUGCCCCUCUCACUUUUGCCCGCAGACUGAACGCCCCAGUCUUGGGGGUUCCAGCACAAGCUUCCAAGAGCAUCAACUCCUUGUCUCUAUGGUAACCCCCCCUCCUCGUUCCUUGAAAACCUCAUCUCUUAAAGAAGUCAGGUCCAGAAGGCUGAAACAGCUGCGAGACCAACGUGCAGACAAGCACCUUCCGAAACACCCUUUUGGUAAAGAGUGGAAAUUUAACAACCUGUCCGCCCAGGGUCAGUUCCAUGUCAAGGAAUUUUUUAUUACUGCAGAAUGUAGUAGAAAAGCAUCCUCUCUGAUGCAAAGCAUUUUUUCUGGAUCUCGCUAGUAAACAUUCUGCUCCCAUGGGUAGAGGCCACGCCCAGCUGAAGAACCAAAGUGUAGAUAUUAUAAUAUCACAGGCAUACAUGCUCUGGUUCCCUUCAUUUUGCUGGUCUUCUCCAAUUGUUCAUUGUACAAUUGAAUACCUUCUGCCUGAUGGUUCUCCCAAGAACAAUUCAGCAAAAAGGAAUGCAAAGCCACCUUAAUUUUGAAAUCAACAUCAUACAUCAUACAACCAUCAUACAUUUCUUCUCUGAAGACUUAAGAAUGGAAUCAGGUCUGUCCAAGAAAUUUCAUUCUAUUAAACAGAGCAACAUUUGUGCAAGGAAAAGAAAGCCCAAUACAUAAAUAUUGGACCUUAGUUCCGUUAAGAACUUUCACAUGUCUGGAAUCCAAUUCUAUUUCAACAUCAUAAAGCAGAUACAUACGUACAUGCAUACAUACAUACAUACAUACAUACAUACAUACAUACAUACAUGGAAUACAUUUAUAUAUACAUAUCUAUAUCUUAUAAAUAUGUAGAUAUAAGCAGAUUUUUUAAUAUAAAAGAUGUUUAUAUUAAAGAUUAAAGAUUUUUAAUACAAAGCAUAUGUAUAGUAUGCUGUGGUAUAAAGGUAAUCUACAAGUAUACGAGGUAGCUUGGAAAUUCAAAUUAAAGAUUUAUUUCAUUUUUGGAGUAUUCUGCUGAGUAAUAGAAGAAAAAAGUUCAUUUGGAGUAAGACAAAGAAGGAAGUCCAUAGCAAUGUUAUAAACAAAGAUACUAAUAAUUCAGCUGAUGUGGAGCACUGUAGCUGAAGAAAAUGAAAAUGUUCUUCUCAAUCUGCAGUUCAGUGUGUCAUGGUUGAGAGAUGCUCAAUCCUCUCGUAAAAAAAAAGAACCCUUACCAAUUCAGGUGCACUUUUAUUUCUGAUAUGAUUGAAAAGUUUGAUAUUUCUGUAAUAUCUGUUUUUAGUUGAGAAAUAAACAAUUGAGAAAUCUA